Molecule: ribosomal RNA, 118 nt
Filed under: Jaculus jaculus (lesser Egyptian jerboa)
Lineage: Eukaryota; Metazoa; Chordata; Mammalia; Rodentia; Dipodidae
Source: RNAcentral
UUCUACAGCCAUAGCACCCUGAAUGUACCUCAUCCUGUCUGAUCUCAGAAGAUAAGCAGGAUGGGGCCGGUUAGUACUUGGGUGAGUGAUCAGAUAAACCUUAGAGUGACACCAGGGU